GACGAACGCUGGCGGCGUGCUUAACACAUGCAAGUCGAACGGUGAAGCGCCUUCCUUUUUGGUGGGUGUGGAUGAGUGGCGAACGGGUGAGUAACACGUGAGUAACCUGCCCCCUUCUUCUGGAUAACCGCAUGAAAGUGUGGCUAAUACGGGAUAUUCUGGGUCUGUCGCAUGAUGGGUCUGGGAAAGAUAUUGUUUCGGUGGGGGAUGGGCUCGCGGCCUAUCAGCUUGUUGGUGGGGUGAUGGCCUACCAAGGCGGUGACGGGUAGCCGGCCUGAGAGGGUGGACGGUCACACUGGGACUGAGACACGGCCCAGACUCCUACGGGAGGCAGCGGUGGGGAAUAGUGCACAGUGGGCGCAAGCCUGAUGCAGCGACGCCGCGUGAGGGAUGGAGGCCUUCGGGUUGUGAACCUCUUUCGCCAGUGAAGCAGGCCUGCCUCGUUUGUGGGUGGGUUGACGGUAGCUGGAGAAGAAGCGCCGGCUAACUACGUG
This 494-nucleotide ribosomal RNA is filed under the name uncultured bacterium. RNAcentral's name for it is "partial 16S ribosomal RNA". It matches the Rfam family "Bacterial small subunit ribosomal RNA", at positions 28 to 507 of the family's 1533-position model. The record is from RNAcentral.